Molecule: ribosomal RNA, 485 nt
Filed under: uncultured bacterium
Lineage: Bacteria
Description: bacterial SSU rRNA
Rfam family: Bacterial small subunit ribosomal RNA
Source: RNAcentral
UGAACGCUAGCUACAGGCUUAACACAUGCAAGUCGAGGGCAGCAUGGUCUUAGCUUGCUAAGGCCGAUGGCGACCGGCGCACGGGUGAGUAACACGUAUCCAACCUGCCGUCUACUCUUGGACAGCCUUCUGAAAGGAAGAUUAAUACAAGAUGGCAUCAUGAGUCCGCAUGUUCACAUGAUUAAAGGUAUUCCGGUAGACGAUGGGGAUGCGUUCCAUUAGAUAGUAGGCGGGGUAACGGCCCACCUAGUCUUCGAUGGAUAGGGGUUCUGAGAGGAAGGUCCCCCACAUUGGAACUGAGACAUGGUCCAAACUCCUACGGGAGGCAGCAGUGAGGAAUAUUGGUCAAUGGACGAGAGUCUGAACCAGCCAAGUAGCGUGCAGGAUGACGGCCCUAUGGGUUGUAAACUGCUUUAUAAGGGAAUAAAGUGAGUCUCGUGAGACUUUUGCAUGUACCUUAUGAAUAAGGACCGGCUAAUUCCGUG